RNAcentral lists this long non-coding RNA (10570 nucleotides) under Equus asinus (donkey). RNAcentral describes it as "lncRNA (ENSEASG00005026166.1)". Lineage: Eukaryota; Metazoa; Chordata; Mammalia; Perissodactyla; Equidae. The record is from RNAcentral.
GCGAUAUUUAACGGAAGUUGAGCAAGUGAAGAACCUGGGAGAGCAGCUUCGAUGCCUUUGCUGAGGGGUGACGUACUUCACGUUGCUCCCUUUCCGUCUGCUUUGUACAUCCUGUAAACUACCUGCCUACCGACUCGCCUCCUUUCCUUCCGCCCCCGCACCUACCGGUUCCUCGUUACCAUUUUCUCUGCCCCGAAGUCCUCGGUCUCGCUCAACCUGCUCCUCCUCCUCCUCUGUCCUCCAUUCAGUUUAGGGUGCCGCUUGCCAGAAACCCAGAAUUGUUGCCAACUCGUCUUUCUCUGUCAUCUCUCCUGUAGUUUUUGCAAAUCUCUUGUUUCUCUCCACUGUAGUAGUGAUAAUGAUCACAUUGAUAGUGGUGAUGAUAAAGAUAGUUACUGUUUAUAUGUGUAGGGUUAUAUAUCUAUUAUAUGUAAUAGAUAUAAAAUAUAUAUUAUUUUAAACAUAUAUUCUGUAUUGAGUUUUAGGUGAAAAGCGCUUAAAACAGUUUGGUUUUUGGGCCAGGGGAGCAUUGCCAUUUAAAAACUGCUUUCAGUUUAUAAUGCAGGGAACUUUCAGAUCAUCUUUAUAGCAGAACCCUUUGAGGGGGCCCCUUUCCUUUGUAUGGAUGUAAGGUAAGUACCACCCACCUACUGUUUUGGUAGAAGUGUAUCGAGGAGUAUGUGUUAGCUUGGCAAAGACCUGUAUCUUAGACGUGUUGAUGAAUGAAGUGAGGAGAUGCCCAUGUGCUAUUUACGUCUGUGUUGUUGAACAAGAAGCCUUCUGGGAAGAGAAGCUAAAGGCAGACUCCUUUCUUUAGAGGCUCAAGUUUAUUGGAACCCGUUUAACGGACUGGAGAGGGGUUGACUGAGGCCAGCUAGCAGGAAAGGACAACAUGAGCCCCUGUCAUGGUAGAAUCAGAACACUCCUGGACCAGUGUCAGGCAGGCAUCUAUUCCUAAUUCUAGUCCAUGUAAUGCCUUUCUCUCCCUCCCCACAAUUGAGGGUCAUUUUCUGUAAUCGGCUUACAAAAUGGGUGAGCCAGCUUUGUGCACAGUGGCCUUUUGCUUCUUUCUGUAAAACUAAUUCUGAAAGCAUCUUUAAACAGCACUAGUAACUUUUUAAAAAAUUGUGGUAAAGUAUACAUAACAUAAAAUUUACCAUCUCAACAAUUUUUAAGUGUAAGAGUUCAGUGGCAUUAAGUACAUUCAUGUUGUACAACCAUCACCACCAUCCAUGUCCAGAACAUUUUUGUCUUCCCAAACCAAAACUUGACACCCGUUAAACAGUAGCUUCCCAUUUUGCCCUCACCGACCACCACCCCCAGCCCCAGGCAACCACCAUUCUGCUUUCUGUCUCCAUGAAUUUGAUUACUCUAGGUACCUCACAUGAGUGGAAUCAUACACUUGUCCUUUUGUAACUGACUUCUUCCACUUAACAUAAUGUCUUCAAGCAUCAUCCAUGUUGUACCAUGGGUCAGUACUUCAUGACUUUUGAUGGCUGAAUAAUACUCCAUUGUAAGGAUAUGCCACAUUUUGUUUCUCUAUACAUCUGUUGAUGGACACUUGCCUUGCUCCUACCUUUUGGCUAUUGUGAAUAAUGCUAGUAUGUACAUGUGUGUACAAAUAUCUUAAACAACAUUAGUAUCUUUUUAGGCUGUUUUUCACUUUAAGAAGAGAUUAAAGCAAUCUAGUGACUGGUAAGAUAGGAAGCUCUGAGAUAGUGAGAUAAGACUCCGGGGUCUGCUUUCCCUAAUUGUGUUGGUUUUGUAAAACAACCUAAGAUUUUCCCCCCAAUGCACCCUCCUUCAUUAGUGUGUGGGGAAACCUGGCAAGCCCUAAAGAAGGCUCACUUUACCUUGAGUUCUCCCAAGACACCUGUGAUUCUCCCUGGCCAUUUGACAGAAUGUGGGGAAGGCUCUUGGUCUUACUGUCCUGGAAUACUAGGAUCAGGAACCAUUAUCAUUCAUUCAUUUAUUCAUUCAACAAAUAUGUCUUAAAUGCUUAUUAUGUACCAUUGUGUAUGUGAGUGUGAGGUGGGGUGACAGAAAAAAGUCCCCACUCUUCUGAUGCUUAUAUUCAGUAGAGGAUUAUAGAUUUAGAUGCAGGUGGAGAUAUCCACCAUUGCUAGUUAUAUUGUCUUUGUUUUUUCCUUAUAGUCUUUCCUUUGGAGGCCUAAAAGUUACUUUUUUGGGGGGACAGUAAAUUUUAAGAGUUAAAUGUUUUGAGGUUUGAUUGUGAGAGACUGUUCUAAUCACCAUGUUGAUUCUGGACCUAAUAAAAUGGCAGGAAUGAUAGUGUAGGUGAUGAAAUAGUUUCAGAGAACUUAGGUGACUUGCCCAGCUCACGGAGCUAGUCCUGGACUAAGGCACAUGCUCUUAAUCCAGACUCCACACAGUCCCCUGGAGAAGCCACAGCUCAAGGACACAGGCCUGACCGCUGUCAGGGAAUCCUUACUUAUGGAAUGUACUAAUUGGUUAAUGUAGAAAUUUUGUGCCAUUUCAAUCAAUACCCCAGUGGAAUUUUUCUUAACUUAAAAUAAUUCUAGAAUAUAGAUAAAAGAAUAAGUGGGAUGAGAGGGAGGUAGAAAGCUAUGAAAUUUUUGAAAAAUGAAAAUAACUAGUAGUCUUGCCCUACUAGAUGUUAAAAUGCCAUAUUUUGUAAAGCCACAGUAAUUGACCUAGUGCGGUGCUGGUGCCAAAAUCAACUGACAGGUAAGUGAACUCGAAUAGACAGGCCACAAAGAAACCCAUUAGAAUUAGAAUUUGGUUAGAUAUUAAAGGAAGCAUAAAAAUCGUUGACCAAGUGGAACUGGAACAGCUAGUUAAAGAUUUGGAAAUAAAAUUUUUAAUUAUAUCUUACCUCUUACCAUAGAUCAAAAUAAAUUUUAGAGAUUAUUUUAAGUUAAAGAAUUAAAUGCUAACAAAGCCUUUAAAAAACAGAAGAAAAUAGAUGAAAAAAUAUAUAUAUAAUAAAAUAUAUAUUUUCCUUCUUCUUCUCUCCAAAGCCCCCCAGUACAUAGUUGUAUAUUCUAGAUGUAGGUCCUUCUGGUUGUGCUAUGUGGGAUGACGCCUCAGCAUGGCUUGAUGAGUGGUGCUAGGUGCAAGCCCAGGAUCUGAACCAGCAAAACCCUGGGCCACCAAAGUGGAGCACGUGAACUUAACCACUUGGCCACGGGGCCAGCCCCUAGAUGAAUAUAUUUUUAAACACUUAAAUUCCAGUAGACAAUUCUCAGAAUGUCUAAUAACAUUAAAAGUAUUCAGCCUCACUAGUUUCUAAGAGAGAGCAAAUUAAAACAAUGACAUAAUUUAAUCUAGCAAAUUGACAAAGGUUAAAAAAAUUCAGUGUUCUUAUGGGUGUGGGGAAAUAGGUAAUUUCAUAUGCUAACGGUAGAAAUAUAAAUUGGCAUGACUUGUGUACGAAGCAAUUUGGCAAGAGUCUUUUCAAAAUUUUUAUCUAUUGACUCAGUUAUAGCACUUUUAGGAAUAUAUUCCAGGGAAAUACUGAGAAACUCUAACAUUUGUAUAUAAGGACACUUAAUAUGGGAUUAUUUAUAACAACAACAAAUAAAUACCUUAAAAGUCUAGCAGUGGGGGCGAGUUAAAUGAAUAAAGAAAUAACAUGUUAUAGUCCUAGUUUAAUGUUUAAUUCUAGUGCUAAAUUUAAAUAUAUAUAUAACAAUACAGGCAUAGUUGUAGAUUAGAUAGAAAGAAAAACGAUUAAGAAGGAAAUAUGCUCAAAUACUAAGAGUCAUAGGUGAAUGACCAGAUUACUGAUUAUAUUUAUGUUCCUUAAAUUUUUCCAAUUUCCCUAUAAUUUACAUGUAUUGCUUUUAGAUUCACAAAAAUUUUGAAGUUGAUUUAAAAACAUUAACCUGUCCUUGUGUUUUUAUGCUUCUAUUAUUUCACCCAAAAUAUGUGAAAAAUGUGUUUCUCAAGGGGCCUGAAGGACGGGGUCACGCUCCGCUCCCUCUCAGUAUCCUCUGCUUAUCCUUGGGGACAGGCACAGUCAGAGCCCUGGACAAGGCAGGGAGAAAUGAAGAGUGCGGGAUGCAGGCCUCCUUCAUGUGUGGUCCUAGGCGUCCACUCGCCCUUCGGGUUUCAUUUCUCUGGCUGAUCUGUGUCUACCAUCAAAUAAAUUGUAGUUCCUCUGGUGUCUAGCCUGUAACUCAGACAAAAUCCAUCAUUUCCUUAACUUCUCUGUUUUUGAGAGGAUUAAUUAAUUAUUCCUUUUUAUUAUUUUGUAACUGGUAAGUCACAGGGUUAACUUGGCUGCAGCCCUCGGAGGUGCACGCUAAGAAUAUUUCCUCAGCAUAUGCUUGGCCCUGGAGUCCUUGUCUGGCCCAGGCUGACUCGGCAGCUUCCCAGGACCCGUCUGCCCCCCCCCCCCACUUCGCCCCUGCAGUGCUUCACCACACGGUGUUCCCCAGGAGGGGCUCCCACGUAGGGAGGGCUCAAUCUGGUUUGAUUCAAAAGAGCCAAACUUCUCGGCCUUUUGGUGGUCCAGUGGUCCAUGUGUGGGGACAGCUGUGAGAGGAACUACAAAGAGGAGGAAGGUGGGAGUGAAGGAAAACAUGUGGAGGGAGAGAGAAAGGCAGAGACACACAAGCGUUUGCAGCCUGGCUCUGCAAUGGCGUGUAUGGAUAGCCUGCCUUCGUUAACCACCGCCAGCUGAAUAGGAAUCCUGUCUGUGUACCAGCUUGGCUGUGGCGUGUGGGUGGCCUUAGCGCUUACUUCUGGAAGCACCCGCAGGGGCCUCGGCCUGUGAGUCUCCUCCUGGAGCUCUGUGCUGUGCACAGGAUUGAACACAGGGUGGCAGUAACACCACAUCUGGCCUCCAACGCCCGCCCUGCCACCUUCGCCCUGUUCCCCCACACACAGCCUGAUGCAAGCUGGAAACACACACACACACAUUCACACACGGCUGUCUUCCAACCGAGGUGGUGACACGUUACCUCAUCAGGUGGGACCUGUGUUAGAUUGAGUUUGCCUCUUCUGUAGGCAUUGCAGGCAGGACAGGCUACGUGAGUUCCAGAGCCCAGUGCAAAAGGAGAAUGGAGGGCCCCUUGUUCAAAAAGCAGGAAAAAGAUGCUGUUAAGGGUAGUAAAAUAUAAAGCCAAGCUCAGUGAGACUGUACCUCAGGCGCCUCUCCCUUCUUGCCUGGGGCUUCUUGGAGGUUGACACGGGACACCUGAGGAACCAGGGCCUGCUCGGCGCUCACACACACACGGCUACCGAGUGCAAGCCAACAGACACCCGUGGGGAGCCCUGACGAUAGGGGAUGGAAGCCUAUGGAUAACACGUUUCCUAUGACGCCUCCAAGGUCUCAGAGAUACGGAGCAGCAGUCCCUAACAAAGUCACACACCCUGGUGUUGCUUUUUCCCCCUUUCUUGUUCCGCUGCCCUGACCCCUCACUCCUGCUCCCCGGGGUUGCUGCCCAAAUCUACUGCUUGCACAUAAACCUCUGACUUGGAUUCUGCUUUUGCGGGUGGUGGGAGAGUAGCAGGGGGACCCAGGCUAAGAGAGAAAUAUCCCAUCCAACAGAUCAUCCACAGCUUGUUGCUUCUACAUCUAAUCCUCUUUCACAUUUUCUCCAUUCCUGCUCCUGCUCCUCUGGUUCAGACCCUCUUCAUCGCUUGCCUGAACUAGUAAUAACUGGAUUCCUAACUGCUCUUUCUGCCUCCCUUUUUAUUUUACUUAACCCAUCGCCUUUCCCCAAAAACAUCCACCCUUUUCAGCUGCCAGAGUGAACUUUCUAAAACUACAGCUACUCCCCUUUAGUAGGUCCCCCUGCCUCCAGGGUGGUUCUCCCUCUGGAAGCCUUCAUUUCCGGCAACCUUUCCAUUCAGUUCGGUUUAUUUCAUCAAAUGCUUAAUUAACACCAGGCACCUAGCAGUUUCUGCCAUCCAAGGGGUGAGGAGCAGGCGACAACAUGGGUGAUGGGGGAAGAUGCUACAAAUUACCGAGAGGAGAGGAACCUGAGUUGCCUCAAGAAGAUGAUGGGAGAGUGAAGGGCUUUCAUGGACUUCUCUAAAAUACAGUCACAGAACCUGUGUCUUCUUCCUCUGAAAAGGAGGAGCAUUUGCAGUAAUGACGGGGAAUGGCGACCCAGCAGGAAAAGCUGAUGUAAUGAAAAGGAGAGAACAGGCCCACACGUGGGUUGGAAGCCCGAGAACACACUUCUCAGAAUCUUUUGCUGGUAGUGUUCCCGGUUGGAUUCCACCAAUGAGAAGCAUUUGCCUGAGGCUUGGAAUGGAAAAGAGAGGCGGAGAUAUUUUUGUUGUUGCUCUGGCUGUGGAGGCACUUGUGUGGCUGCGUGGGCCCCUGAAAACUUCCUGCUGACAAGUAAAAAUGUGAGUCAUCUUCAGGGACGAACAGUGGUGUCUCUCUUCUCUUUGAUUUACUGCCAUGAAGUUUGGGCGAUGCUGUAAUACCUUGUUUGUAUGAAGAAACUUCCAAUCCCCAGAGUGACCAAGAGAGGAAUUUCCAGUGGGAUGCUGGCAUCAUUUAAUGGCUGGCUCUCCAGAGACAAAAAGCUCUCUGCUGAUUUCCAUGGUAUAAGUACUCUCACAGUGGCUAAUUUUUAAGCUAUCAAUGUGACGUCACUGAGUGUGGAGCUGGGAAGAGUUAGGAAGAGAUGUGCAUAAUCGGCUCCCAAAAACCCAUAGGUGCCGGCUUCAACAUACGAUUGAAAUUUCCUUCCUACCAGGGUGGUGAGCAGCCCUGGCUGGAGGUCUCAGCCAGAGGAAGGAUGACCACCAACAGGGAGGCUCCCUCUCAAUGGCUCCGUCUCAAUCCAAAGACGUUGAGACGCCAUCAUUCCACUUACAAUGUAAAUCACUUCCUUCAUAGCCAAACAUUUUUAGAGAAUAAGAAUAUGUUAAACACCAAAACUCUAUUCCUUUUUGAGAAAAGCAAUAGAGAUGAGUUGUUCUCCCUGAAUAAGCCAGGGAUUCAAUGUUGGUGAUGGAGUUCAAUUUACGUAGGAUAUUUUUCCCACCAUCAUCAGCCUAGAGGGCAGGUCUCCUUGCAGAUGUCAGGGCAGCUUCAUCUGCGGCUAAAUUUGAAAACUCCCCUUGGAGAAUUUCAUAUCCCCUAGGUCACUGUACUCAGUUUUACAGUCCCCUUAAAGUUUUGCAGUCUGAAGGGCAUUAUCUGUGAAAAGUCAUGAAGUCUGUAUUGGUUAGAAUGAUUUGAGUACAAAUAACAAAGCACUUUGACCCAACCGGCUUAAAUAAUGAAGAAAUACAUUAUCUCCGAUAAUGAGAAGUCCUAAGGUAGGAAAACACCAGGGUUGGUUAAUUCAGAGAUUCAAGAAUGUCAUUAAGGAUCCAGAUUUCUCCCAUAUUCCUGCUCUGUCAUCCUUUGUCCUGUUUAUCUCCCCUCAUGGUUGUAAGAUGGCUGCCACUUUCUAGGCACGAAUGGCAACAGCUUUUGAAGAAGGACCAACUCUUCCAAUAGAGGAAAACUUUUCCAGAAGCUUCAUUGGAUAGAAUUGGGUCAAACAUCCUUUCCUAAAUCAAACCAUGUCAUAGAGACUGGAAUUACUAUGAUUAACUUAAAAUAAAUCGGAAUUUAACCAUGAGUUACAUUGGAGAGAGGUAAACACCCAGACAAAAUUGUGUUCCUGCUUGGUAGGCAAUUGUCAUCCCAAGGACUCUUCCACUAUUCUGAUCCUAAGAAUGUUGACGUGUACAGGUCAUUUGGUCCUUUUGGCUGAUCAGAGAUCCACUUGGAUCAGACCAAUGAACUUGAUCAGAAGCAAAUUAUGCUAUGUUUACUAAAUUGAUUAAACUCAAGAUCAGUUUAUCAAAAAAUAUUUGUUAAGGACCUAGUGGGAACCUGGCACUUAAAAGUUACAAUCAUUAAGCACUGGAUCUGCUGAUGAGUAGACAUGGACAACUGGACUUAGAGCUCUUAAUCAGCCAGCAGAAUAAGUAAAAAUUUCUUCAAGAUGAGGAGGGGUAAAUACUUUAAAAAAAUACAUGACUAUGGCUUUCAAUAAGGAUGCCAAGACAAUUCAUUGGGAGAAAGACCAGUCUUUCUAACAAAUGGAGCUGGGACAAUUGGAUAUCCACAUGCAAAAGAAUGGAGUUGGACCCUUACCUCACACCAUAUGCCAAGAUUAACUCAAAAUGGAUCAUUGACCUAAACAUAAGAGCUGAAAAUAGAAAAAAUACUUGGGAGAAAGCUUGUAAAUCUCAUGACCUGGAUUAGUCAAUGGAUUCUUAUACAUGACACCUAAAGCACAGGUAACAAAAGAAAAAUAAAUAAAUUGGGCUUCAUCAAAAUUAAAACUUCUGUGCUUCAAGGAUGCUAUUGAGAAAGUGAAAAGACAAUCCAAAGAAUGAGAGAAAAUAUUUGCAAAUCAUGUAUUUAUUAAGAGCCUAGUAUCCAGAAUGUAUAAAGAACUCUUACAUGGGCCGGCUCCGUGGCCGAGUGGUUAAGUUUGCGCACUCCGCUGCGGUGGCCCAGGGUUCGGAUCCUGGGCGCGGACAUGGCACCGCUCGUCAGGCCACAUUGAGGUGGCAUCCCAUAUGCCGCAACUAGAAGGACCUGCAACUAAGAUAUACAACUAUGUACCAGGGGGUUUGGGAAAUAAAGCAGAAAAAAAAAAAAGAUUGGCAACAGUUGUUAGCUCAGGUGCCAAUCCUUAAAAAAAAAGAACUCUUACAACUCAGCUAUAAAAAUACAAGUAAUCCAAUCAAAAAAUGGGCAAAGAAUUUGAAUAGACAUUUCUCCAAAGAAGAUAUACAAAUGGCCAAUAAGCACAUGAAAAGAUGCUCAACAUCAUUAAUCAUUAAUGAAGCACAAAUAAAACUUCAAGAUAUUACUUCACACCUGUUAGGAUGACUAUAAUAAAAAAGACAGACAAUAACAAGUGUCGUAAAGGACACAGAGAAAUUGAAACCCUUAUGCAUUGUUGGUGGGAAUGUAAAAUGGUAUAGCCACUUUGGAAAACCAUUUGACAGUUCUUUAAAAAGUUAAACAUAAAGUUACCAUAUGGCUCAGCAAUCAAUUUCAUUCUUAGGUAAAUGCCAAAAGAAAUGAAAACAUACAUCCACGCAAAAACUUGUAUACAAAUGUUCAGAGCAGCAAAAUUCAUAAUAGGCAAAAAAUGGAAACAAUCCAAGUUUCCAUCAGUGGAUGAAUGGAUAAAGAAAAUGUGGUAUAUCCACAUUAUGGAAUAUCAUUUGGCCGUGAAAAGGACUGAAGUAUUGAUACAUGCUGCUAAAUGGAUGAACGUUAAGAACAUUAUGUUAAGUGAAAGAAGCCAGUCACAGAAGAUUACAUAUUGUAUGAUUCCAUUUAUAUGAAAUAUUCAGUAUAGGUAAAUUCAUAGAGACAACAAGUAGAUUAGUGGUUGUCACAGGCUAAGAGAAGGGGAAAUGAGAAGGGACUAUUAAUGGGUAUGGGGUUUAUUCUUGGGUGAAAGAAAAUGUUCUCAAAGUAAAUAAUGGUGAUGACCACACAACCUUGUGAACAUACUAAGAACCACUGAAUUGUACACUCUAAAAGGUGUGUGAUAUUCUAUGGUAUGUGAAUUACAUCACAAUAAAAACAUUUAUAUGACUAUCUCAGGCCUUUGGGGGGAAAUAGGACAAAAAAUCAGCAAGCUAAUAAAUAUUGAGUUGGCAAAAUUUAUAAAACUCUUCUAUGAUUCUGAAAUUUAUACAUCCUAUUUUAUCUCCUCCUAUCUCCUUGGUCCAAAUGACUUAUUGUGCAGAUCAGUGGUUCUUAACCCUGGCUGCACAUUUGAGAAUCACCAUGAGCUUUAAAAAGAUAUGAUGCCUUGGCCUGACCCAUGGCCAAUUAAAUCAGUGUCUCUGGUCCCCCAGCAACUCUGGCAUCUUAUUUUAUUAAAAACUUCCAGGUGAUUCCCAUGUGCUGUCAAAACCAUGAAAUUAAAGAGUAGACCAAGAUCCAGGCAGCAGUGGGUCAUAUUACAACAUGAUUCUUUAGCUAAGUCCUUUUUUUUUUUGGUGAGGAAGAUUGGCCCUCAGCUAACAUUGGUUGCCAACCUUCUGCUUUUUGUUUUUCUCCCCAAAGCCCCAGUACAUAGUUGUAUAUACUAGUUGUAAGUCACCCCUGUUCUUUUAUGUGGGAUGCCACUACAGCAUGGCUUGAUGAGCAGUGUGUAGUACUGCGUCCAGGAUCCGAACUGGUGAAUCCUGGGCCGCCAAAGUGGAGUGCACGAACUUAAUCGCUCAGCCAUGGGGCAGGCCCCACUAGGUCUUUUUUCCCCCUUAAUUCAGGUUUAUUAAGAUAUAAUUUAUUUACAUUAAAAUUUACCAUUUUAAAGUAUACAGUUCAGUGAAUUUUGACAAGUGUGUGCUGUCCUAUGACAACCAACAAAAUUGAGAUAUAGAACAUCUCCAUUAUUCCCCCAAAUGUCUGUGUCUUUUAGCAAGCAAUCCCUUCCCCUCAUGUGUCAGAAGCACAUACUAGAAUACUAUGCAACAUUAAAGAGCGUGUCCUCGUAAGUACACGUAAGGAAAGAGAGAAAAAAUUUACUAUAUGAAGUCAAGAGCAAAGAGCAGAAAAAUUUCUAUAUAAUAUAACUUUAAUUAUUUU